UACCUAACCAGUUCUCUGGUAUGCC
RNAcentral lists this microRNA (25 nucleotides) under Bombyx mori (domestic silkworm). Its description in RNAcentral is "bmo-miR-3386-5p". The record is from miRBase by way of RNAcentral. Lineage: Eukaryota; Metazoa; Arthropoda; Insecta; Lepidoptera; Bombycidae.